Molecule: ribosomal RNA, 207 nt
Filed under: uncultured bacterium
Lineage: Bacteria
Description: partial 16S ribosomal RNA
Rfam family: Bacterial small subunit ribosomal RNA
Source: RNAcentral
CUCGUAGGCGGUUCGGCAAGUCGGAUGUGAAAUCUCCACGCUCAACGUGGAGGGGCCAUUCGAAACUGCCGUGACUUGAGUCCGGUAGGGGAGUGCGGAAUUCCCGGUGUAGCGGUGAAAUGCGCAGAUAUCGGGAGGAACACCAGUGGCGAAGGCGGCACUCUGGGCCGGCACUGACGCUGAGGAGCGAAAGCGUGGGAGCGAACA